This is a long non-coding RNA of Ctenopharyngodon idella (grass carp), 5550 nucleotides long. RefSeq lists it as uncharacterized. Lineage: Eukaryota; Metazoa; Chordata; Actinopteri; Cypriniformes; Xenocyprididae. The record is from RefSeq and is a predicted model, not a curated record. The transcript is spliced from 10 exons.
CAGGAAGUCCAGGAGUUCCGGGGAAACCACGAGCACCCUGUAGAAGAAAGAGCAAAGAUGAAGCUCCUUACUGAGGCAAGAAGGAAAAACCCAGAAAUUACGAUAAUCCCAAAUGCUCUGGUGUGUUUGAGAUUGGCCAAAGGAUCUGUUCACCGAAUAUCAUCAUCCGUUUGGAGAUUUGGGAUCAGAUAAGACUUCAGCCAGCAGGGGGCAGAUUUUACAGACCCCCCCAUAAUUAAAAAAACACUCCUGGAGUCUGGGACAAAGAUGAGAUGAAAAUAUCCAAGACCACGAAGUAUCCAUUAAAAAGAUCCGCUGGAUUUUACAGUGGAAUGCCAAAAGGAAACGCCUCAAUUCUUCAGAUGUAGUUCUAGCUUUCCUUGAGGUAAUUUCCCAGCAAGGUUCAACCAAACAAGCGGAGCAAAUCCAGUAGAAGAAGAAAGAAAAAGCCUUAAGAUCCUUGAUGUUGCUCAGCUUUUAUUGUCGGCCAUUUUGCAGAACUCUCCUUUUUCCACUGAGGUCUCCAGACUGAUCUGCUGGUGCUGUAUGUCGUUGGAUUCCAGAUGUGCUUAGCUCAGGCAUCGUGUGAUUGGCUGCGUGCUCAACCCAGUUUCCGCGUCUCAGAUUUCUCCACAUCCAGAGGCAGAGCAGAGGAGGGUCACUCCCUCCUGCCCGUAAAGUGAUUUUUCCACAUGCCGUAUCACUUUUUCCAUGGUGUCAGUGUUUGGGGGGAAGACUACUCAGCACACAGUGUUGGUCACUCUCAAAGACCGAAGCAGAUAAUUCUCUCCGUCCUUCUCCACUUUCACAGUAUAUGACGUGGCUGAAGACAAAGAUUUUCUUGACCUUAUUGCACCGAGCAGCACACACCUCCGUGCCUCAGCCUGCCUGUCAGGUCUGGAAAAAACACAGCAGAAGGAAGGAAUGGAAUCCUGUGGCCUGGAGCUACACGCAUACACACAGAUAAUGGUGGGACGUCGUUCCUCUCGGCCCCGCCCCACCCUGUUCAGGGCCUGUGGUCAGCAAACACAGUCAACCAGGGGCUUUUACGGGACCCCGAAGGCCGAGACCCUCGUUCUAGGGGGGUGUGGUCCAGACUUGAUGAGGAAGGAGGAUUUUAUGGGUUAAUGUCAGUCAGUCACUGAAGAAAAUACUGCUUUGAGAAACCCUUCCUUUGAAUGGCGUCUAUGCUCCGCCCAUUUCUGAACUUUUCUCCAUUGAAACACCAUAUACGUUGUGAUUUCUUGCCUAGUUGUAUUUGUUUAACAUGACACUGAUGGCAGCAAUAAUGUAGAUUUAGACAUACUUUAAGGGCAGUAUAUAAAUAUAUUAAUUUUUUUUUAUAAAAUCAUAUUUAAAGUCAAAAAUCAAAGUCAUUAACUUCAUACUUGGAGACUAAAAUUGUAAAAGGUACCAAGUACGAUUAUUUAUUUAUUUAUGAAAUUAUAUAAUUAUAUAUAAUAUACACACACUAUAUAUACACUACCAGUCAACAGUUUGGAAUUAUCCAAUUUUUUUUUUUUUUUUUUUUUAAAGAAGUCUCUUCUGCUCACCAAGGCUGCAUUUAUUUGGUGAAAAAUACAGUAAAAACAGUAAUAUUGUGAAAUAUUAUUACAAUUUAAAAUAACUGUUUUUUAGUUUAAUAUAUUUUAAAAAUAUAAUUUAUUCCUGUGAUCAAAGCUGAAUUUUCAGCUUCAUUACUCCAGUCUUCAGUGUCACAUGAUCCUUCAGAAAUCAUUUUAAUGUGCUGAUUUGCUGCUUAAGAAACAUUUGUAUUAUUAUCAGUGUUGAAAACAGUUGUGCUGCUUAAUAUUUUUGUGGAAACUGAUACAGCAUCAUUCAAAAGUUUGGGGUAAGUUUUUUUUUUAAAGAAAUUAUUACUUUUUUUCCAGCAUGAAUGCAUUAAAUUAAUGCAAAAAGUGACAGUAAAGACAUUUAAAAUGUUACAUAAUAUUUUUCAAAUAAAUGCUGUUCUUUUGAACUUUCUAUUCAUCACACAUCAUGUUCUCACACAGUGAAAAAUACAUCGCAGAGCAAAGAGGAUACUGACAACACGUCGACAGACAAGACAGAGCAGAUCGCUGUAGCGCCUUGUGAACCGAUCAUCUCUUCCUACUAGUUCAUUUAUAGCAUCAAAUAAACAUGAACGAACAUCAUAAGCUGAUCUGUGUUGGAGCCUCACGUUUGGGACUAUACCGCCCAUCAAAUUACACACCUGUGGCGAAGCAUACCUGCUCUUUAGAGCCACGUGUGGAGUGACUGCAUGUUGAGAGGCUCCAUCUCAGGGGUCAUAAACUUUAAAAGGAAAGGUGGGUUUGGGAAGCUCAGCUACCAGCAGUUUGUGACUGUCGUUCUGGACACCUAUAGAGAACAGUACAAGGAACUUUUUUUUUUUUCUCAAAAGCAAAGGUGCUAUCAUCUUUAAACUCAUUUGUCGGACAUACAGUGGGGUCCAAACAUCUGAGAUCAACAUUUAGAUUGUUAGGAUUUUGUUUGAGAACAAUUUCAAAUGAAGAAGUGAUGUAAAAUGAAGAAAUAUUUCUGUUCUAUUUCUAGGUCACUAAUCAAAUAAGUGAAUUUGUGCAAUUGUGACUCUUUGUUCUGAUGUCCAAGAUGAAAAAUUUGGGGUCAGUAAGAUUUUUUUAAUUAAUACUUUUAUUUAGCAAGGAUGCAUUAAAUUGACCAAAGGUGGAAGCAAAGACAUUUAUAAUGUUACAAAAGAUUUAUGUUUCACAUAAAUGCUGUUCUUUUAACUUUCUAUUCAUCAAAGAAUGAAUGUAUAUGCAUAUUCAUAAUAAAAAGAAAUGUUUAUUGAGCAGCAAAUCAGCAUAUUAGAAUGAUUUGUGAAGGAUCAUGUGACACUGAAGACUGGAGUAAUGAUGCUGAAAAUUCAGAUUUGCAUCACAGGAAUAAAUAUCUAGUUCAGUCAUGAAACUCUAGAGGGCGCAGUCUGAAAGGUCCUUUACAUGCAAUCUGCAAGCAAUCACAUCAUUACCAAAUGGCACAAGCUGAUUGGCUUCUGCUGAUCCUGCAGCCAAUGAGAUUGCUUGCUCAACAUUUAAAUAGCCUAGUUCAGUGUUUGCUGUAAGCUGGUCCUGCUAUCAGAGCUCCUCUGAACCCUUCCACCUCCCCCAGCUCCACCUGCCUAGAUCUGCUACAGGAUUUAUCUAAGUCUAUUUGUGCAGCAGCAGCAGCAUAUCUUACAUGCUCACAGCAGUGUGUCUGUGUAUCUAUUAGCAGUAUUCAGUCCAUACUUGCUUUGCAGCAUCAGCAAUAAUCAACAGCAGCAGCAGCGUUGCAGAUUUAGUCCGCCAAGACCAAAUACAUUAACAUUGAUAGCCAUUUUAAAUAACAUGCUAAAACUAUUCCGAGAGUUGUCAUGGUUGAAAUUACUUUAUAUACAAAUAGAAACAGUUUGUAAUAAUAUUUCACAGUAUUACUGUUUUUACUAUAUUUUUGGUAAAAUAAAUGCAGCCUUGGUGAGCGGAAGAGACUUCUUUUAAAUAAAUACAUAAAAAAUCUUACCAACCCCAAACUGUAUGGUCUUAGAUCAUAGUAAGUUGCUGUGACAUGUUUAUAAGAUAUCAACGAUUUGCCCCAGAACAUAUUGGUAAUAUAAUUUACAGCUCUGCUAUAUUGUUUCAAUUUAAUUUAGAUUUUAUUUCAGCAAUUCAAUGUUUCAUGCAUACAUACUUGUUGCACUUUUUACUUUUUACUAAUUUUUUUUUUCCUUUUUUAAGAAAAGCACUAUUGAGUGUUCACAUGGCCAUCUUUGCUACCUCAGAUGAACCUUUAGUAAUUUGUCUGUCUCCAGAAGUAGCACAGGAAUACACACUGCCACGUUGUCUCCUUCAUUCUCAUUCCCCUCCCUGUCUCUCACGUCUAUUUCUUCCCCUGCAUUUUCCCUGCUGGCGUACCAUCCCAUCUCUUUCUCUAACAUGCGCUCUGACCUCCCUGAUGUUUAACUCUAUGGAUUUCAGACUUAAGAUGUGGUUGUUUCGGGGCCAGGAGGAGGCAGUGUAAUUCAGGGACUUCCUGGGCAAAUAUGACCUCAAUGCCAUCCUCAAACCACCAUGUCACCAAAUACCGGAGCACCAAGAAGUGUAAUUGUUGUAUUGAGUUUUAUUUCUCAAGUCAAUUUAAUUUCUUUUAAGGAUGUUUAGAUAUUUUUACUGGAAAACAAGAAAAGAGUGUGUUGGAGUGAUAUUCAAUGAAAUACCUGUGGAAAAUCCCUGGUCUUAGAUCACAGGUGCAGUGUGGUUGAUGAUUACAGGGACAGUAAAACAUAUCCUUUUCUCUGAUCUUUACUGCAAAUACACCAAUUGAACAGAUGCUGUACUAGAAAAUAUAGAACCUUAAAGGGUUCUGUCAGGCGAUUCAUACAUAGAACCUUUCAUUUUAUGAAUUAAACAGCCCAUAAACAUACUUUAUCACUAGAAAAAAGGUUGUUUAACUUGGAAAGUAUUAUGAAAUCAUUUAAGACAUUUCUUCUUAGGAAGUUUUUGGCAUAAAGCAUUCUUUAAAAUGGAGUCAAGAACCACACUGAACCUUUUUUUCCCCCCUAAGAGUGAAUGUUUAGUGUUAAGGUAGACUGUCAUUGUACUUCAUCAUAUCUGACCACUUUAAGAAAGCAGCUAAAACAGCUCAAACCUGUGACACGACCACAGCUUAAACCCUUCACAGACUAGCAAUGGUCUGACAGGCGUUCUUGACUCAAGCAAAGUCCACAAACUGCAGCCAGUGUUUUUUUUUCUUUUCUAACCUCGUAAAGACACUUUCCUGUAGUCACAUAUUAAUUUUAAUCUUUUAAAACAAUUUUAGCCUGCAUUCCUUCAAAUUUGAAUGGGGUUUGGUUUACAGGCUGGAUUUUCAAGCUUAUUUGUUGAUGUGGAAUACUGUAAGAGUUUAUUUAAUCUUGAUCGCAGCCAUAUUGUUGCAUUAACUCAAGUAAAGGCAUCUGGAUAGAAAAGUGUUCAUCGAAUAGCCCUGGAACAAAACUAAGAAACUUGAGGUAUUCUGCACCUCCCCCUAUUCUCAAGUCAUUCCCUAACGACUUCACCAGACAAGCUAGAAAACAGAAAAGUGAAAUAGUCCAGUUAACAGACUGAACUCUAAAAGGAAAAUAAGCUGGGGAAAGUGACCUUUUUGGUCUUCAUGGAUAUUUUUUUUUACGGUUUAGACAUUCAGAAAUCAGUGUCUUGCCAAAAAAAAUAGCAAAAUAUAGGCUACUUAAGUUUUAAAUAAAUACAAACCUUCAUUUUGCAUUCCAGUUUUAAACGCAGUAUAAUAAAAUGAAAGUUUACUAGACUUAAACUGUUUAAUUGUAUGAAAACAACCCUUCCAUUUCUGGAUCGGCCUUUAUUUCUUGGCGCUCAGAAGCUCCAUGAAUGAGAGAGCAGCGACCCCUUCUGGUGAAGAAGAGCUGCCCAAAGGCUUCAUCAAACAGCUUUUGAGGAUUUAGCUCACAUUCAUUGCUCAAAUUAAAGCGUUAACUUUUGUUGUGGUCCGGUUAUGUGGAAGCAGCUACUCUAAUAAUAAAAUUAGAUGUUA